GCAUUUUUGUUCUCCUGUUUGCCUCCCAUCACGUAAUAUUAGCAUACCAACCUAAUUUUUCUCCUCUUACACACCAACUCAACAGUUAUACCGUCAAAAUGGCGGAACUUUCAUAAGGAGAUUGCAACAUUAUCAAUAACCAUCCUCUAACCAACUUAGUUGAUCGUUUAUGAGGCGCGCUUCAGGAAGCCGAAAGAAUAUAUGAGUCGCAUCUAAUUUAUGAUGGCGCUGAUGAGAGCCUUGACCAACUCUAUCAAAAUGUGAUUUCAAAACUCCUCUCUGCUUUACAGGGAGAGGAUGCAGCCUACAGCCUUUGCUCAUGGAUAAAUGAUGGAGAUGUGGCAUCUGAUCUAGCACAAUUAUUUGAGCGCCUCUGAAAGGCAAAAGGACACUUCAGAUACAACGACUACCAGCUGCUGGUGAACCUGAUUAUUCAAAGGCCUUCGACUGAAUCUCAGAACACCGAAACAUGGAACUUUGAUGUCUGAAAAGCUGUAUUUACUCUCAUUGACAUCAUUCCUCAAACAACACCAUCAGUGAGUGCUCCCCUCUCCUAUGACAGCACAUCAGUCAAAUCCACAUCAUCAUCACAGAAAGGCUCUGAGCAGACAUGUGAUUUGAUGAAUUCAAGAAUCUUUGAGAAGAUACAUAGCUGCACAUUUCAAGUCAUUAAAAGUUUCUUUGACAAAUACUUUGAGAAGAAGAACUGAAGUGGCAAAGCUGAUGUCAUCUGUCAACAUAUACUGAUUUCAGACAGCAACAGUAAUUGAGCUCAGUUUUCUGAUUCUUCUACACAGAACAAUGUUCUCAUCUGAUGAUUUCAUCUUCAAAAGAAUCUUCUCUCAGAAUUACACAGUAUCUACUAUAUCAUAAUAAACAAAGC
This 883-nucleotide small RNA is filed under the name Histoplasma ohiense. RNAcentral's name for it is "hypothetical lncRNA". Lineage: Eukaryota; Fungi; Ascomycota; Eurotiomycetes; Onygenales; Ajellomycetaceae. The record is from RNAcentral.